Molecule: ribosomal RNA, 697 nt
Filed under: uncultured bacterium
Lineage: Bacteria
Description: bacterial SSU rRNA
Rfam family: Bacterial small subunit ribosomal RNA
Source: RNAcentral
UGCAAGUCGCACGAGAAAGGGGCUUCGGCCCUGAGUAAAGUGGCGGACGGGUGAGUAACACGUGGGUAAUCUGCCUUUCAGUGGGGGAUAACUGUCCGAAAGGAUAGCUAAUACCGCAUACGUCGGCGAAGGUCAUGGCCUUUGUCGGGAAAGCCGGCCUCUCCAUGGAAGCUGGCGCUGGAAGAGGAGCCCGCGGCCCAUCAGCUAGUUGGUAGGGUAAUGGCCUACCAAGGCAAAGACGGGUAGCUGGUCUGAGAGGAUGAUCAGCCACACUGGGACUGAGACACGGCCCAGACUCCUACGGGAGGCAGCAGUGGGGAAUAUUGGGCAAUGGGCGCAAGCCUGACCCAGCCACGCCGCGUGAGUGAUGAAGGCCUUCGGGUCGUAAAGCUCUGUGGGGAGGGACGAAAAAACGCUGGCCAACAUCCAGCGGACUGACGGUACCUCCUUAGCAAGCACCGGCUAACUCCGUGCCAGCAGCCGCGGUAAUACGGAGGGUGCAAACGUUGCUCGGAAUCAUUGGGCGCAAAGCGCACGUAGGCGGUCCAGCAAGUCGGGUGUGAAAGCCCUCGGCUUAACCGGGGAAGUGCAUUCGAAACUACUGGGCUUGAGUACUGAAGAGGAUCGCGGAAUUCCCGGUGUAGAGGUGAAAUUCGUAGAUAUCGGGAGGAACACCAGUGGCGAAGGCGGCGAUCUG